UCUGCCUCGCUGAAAACCCCGUGCCCGAGCACCCUCGCCGUUUCUUCCUUCCCCGCGCGCCCGACGCCCUCCUCCGUGCCCUAACUGCCGGCCUCGGCGGUUUCUUCCUCCCCAAAACCUGAAAUCCCUCGGCCACUUCUCCUCUCCUCUGCCUCCCGAAUCUUUUCUCCCUCUCUACAGCCGAUCUUUUCUCCCUCUCUACAGCCGAGUGACUUUGUGCCCUAGUGAGCCGCGAGCCUCCACUUUUCUCUUCUUCUUUCCAUCCCCGACGCGAGUUUUGCUUAUGCCCUAGCGCCGACCAAGAUUUUUGUUUCACCUCUCUUCCUUUCUUCUGGCAGAGCAAGAGCCGACCGACUGCUCUACCUCCCGAUCGUCGGCCAUCAUCACUCGACUACCACUGUGCUUUGCCGCCGCCGCCCACUCUUGACCCGAGCAACAACCGAAGCUUCUUUUCAUCUGCCCUAGCUUCGUGCCCUAGUUUGGGUCCACCUGAUUGCCGGUGCCAGACAAGGUGUAUCCGACAGAAAUCGAGCACCUCAGGUCUGCUAGUUCUGUGCCCUAUUUGUCGGCCACCCGUUUUUGGUUUUAACCGGUUACUGUCUACCGGCAGAGAGGAAAAGAGACUAGGCAGCAACUCUGCUCUUGGAUCCGGCAGCCACCUUCCAGCGACUACCUUUCUCCGGCAGCAACAUCCCUGCUGAGAAGUAAGGUUGAUGCUGUCAGGAGAGAGUUCCAGUUGCCAGUCCCCUGCAGACCACGA
Long non-coding RNA from Zingiber officinale, 760 nucleotides. RefSeq lists it as uncharacterized. Lineage: Eukaryota; Viridiplantae; Streptophyta; Magnoliopsida; Zingiberales; Zingiberaceae. The record is from RefSeq and is a predicted model, not a curated record. The transcript has 3 exons.